This 173-nucleotide ribosomal RNA is filed under the name uncultured eukaryote. RNAcentral's name for it is "partial 18S ribosomal RNA". It matches the Rfam family "Eukaryotic small subunit ribosomal RNA", at positions 392 to 567 of the family's 1831-position model. The record is from RNAcentral.
CAGCCUGAGAAACGGCUACCACAUCCACGGGAGGCAGCAGGUGCGCAAAUUACCCAAUGCUGAUUCAGCGAGGUAGUGACAAAAAAUAACGAUAAGCGGCUUUCAGUUGCUAAUUCGGAAUGAGAACAAUCUAAAAACCUUAUCGAUCAUCAAGCGGAGGGCAAGUCUGGUGC